AUUGAACGCUGGCGGCAGGCUUAACACAUGCAAGUCGAGCGAGUGGCGGACGGGUGAGUAAUGUCUGGGAAACUGCCUGAUGGAGGGGGAUAACUACUGGAAACGGUAGCUAAUACCGCAUACCAUCAGAUGUGCCCAGAUGGGAUUAGCUAGUAGGUGGGGUAAUGGCUCACCUAGCCGACGAUCCCUAGCUGGUCUGAGAGGAGAACCAGCGACACAGGAACUGAGACAAGGUCCAGACUCCUACGGGAGGCAGCAGGAGGGAAUAUUGCACAAUGGGGGCAAGCCUGAUGCAGCGAUGCAGCGUGUGUGAAGAAGGGCUGCGGGUUGUAAAGAACUUUCAGCCUGGAGGCGUUACUCGCAGAAGAAGCACCGGCUAACUCCGUGCCAGCAGCCGCGGUAAUAC
This 406-nucleotide ribosomal RNA is filed under the name uncultured bacterium. RNAcentral's name for it is "partial 16S ribosomal RNA". It matches the Rfam family "Bacterial small subunit ribosomal RNA", at positions 30 to 526 of the family's 1533-position model. The record is from RNAcentral.